RNAcentral lists this ribosomal RNA (255 nucleotides) under uncultured bacterium. Its description in RNAcentral is "partial 16S ribosomal RNA". It matches the Rfam family "Bacterial small subunit ribosomal RNA", at positions 1246 to 1500 of the family's 1533-position model. The record is from RNAcentral.
GAAGCGAAACCGACGAGGUGGAGCAAAACUAUAAAAGACGAUCUCAUUCGGACUGCAGGCUGCAACUCGCCUGCACGAAGUUGGAAUUGCUAGUAAUCGUGGAUCAGCAUGCCACGGUGAAUACGUUCCCGGGUCUUGUACACACCGCCCGUCACACCAUGGGAGCCGGUAAUACCCGAAGUCAGUAGUCUAACCGCAAGGAGGACGCUGCCGAAGGUAGGAUUGGCGACUGGGGUGAAGUCGUAACAAGGUAUC